CCUACGGGUGGCAGCAGUGAGGAAUAUUGGUCAAUGGACGCAAGUCUGAACCAGCCAUGCCGCGUGCAGGAAGACGGCUCUAUGAGUUGUAAACUGCUUUUGUACGAGGGUAAACGCAGAUACGCGUAUCUGUCUGAAAGUAUCGUACGAAUAAGGAUCGGCUAACUCCGGGCCAGCAGCCGCGGUAAUCCGGAGGAUUCAAUCGUUAUCCGGAUUUAUUGGGUUUAAAGGGUGCGUAGGCGGUCGUAUAAGUUAGAGGUGAAAGCCCGCGGCUCAACGUCGGAAUUGCCUGUGAGACUGUUCGGCUAGAGAGUAGUUGAGGUAGGCGGAAUGUAUGGUGUAGCGGUGAAAUGCUUAGAGAUCAUACAGAACACCGAUUGCGAAGGCAGCUUACCAAGCUACUUCUGACGUUGAGGCACGAAAGCGUGGGGAGCAAACAGGAUUAGAUACCCCAGUAGUC
RNAcentral lists this ribosomal RNA (460 nucleotides) under uncultured bacterium. RNAcentral describes it as "partial 16S ribosomal RNA". It matches the Rfam family "Bacterial small subunit ribosomal RNA", at positions 338 to 795 of the family's 1533-position model. The record is from RNAcentral.